RNAcentral lists this transfer RNA (72 nucleotides) under Bos taurus (domestic cattle). It matches the Rfam family "tRNA". Rfam says of the family: Transfer RNA (tRNA) molecules are approximately 80 nucleotides in length. Their secondary structure includes four short double-helical elements and three loops (D, anti-codon, and T loops). Further hydrogen bonds mediate the characteristic L-shaped molecular structure. tRNAs have two regions of fundamental functional importance: the anti-codon, which is responsible for specific mRNA codon recognition, and the 3' end, to which the tRNAs corresponding amino acid is attached (by aminoacyl-tRNA synthetases). tRNAs cope with the degeneracy of the genetic code in two manners: having more than one tRNA (with a specific anti-codon) for a particular amino acid; and 'wobble' base-pairing, i.e. permitting non-standard base-pairing at the 3rd anti-codon position. Lineage: Eukaryota; Metazoa; Chordata; Mammalia; Artiodactyla; Bovidae. The record is from Rfam by way of RNAcentral.
UCCCUGAUGGCUCAGAGGUUAAAGCGUCUGCUUGCUAUGCGGGAGACCCGGGUUCAAUCCCUGGGUCGGGAA